ACCUCUUAAGCUCUUAUGUUAUCAUUCCUUACUCUAUUUUCACUUGUCACUCCACUCGUCCAACCUAAACAUUGUCAUUUCUGAUACUCUCAUUCUCUGUUCUAUUUUUCUAUUUACCACCCAAAACUCCAAACCAUACUUUAAUAGAACAUAACUUUAAGCCUCAUUGAAAUUCCCUUGUUACAUAAAAUACAAAACAUCUGACAAUUCUGUCCGCUUAAUAUGACCACAAGUAAUUCUAUGCUUCACAUGCUCAUGAAAGCCACCAUUCUUUUAUACAAAAGAUUCUAGUUACUUAGAACUCUCAACCUUGUUUAUUGCCAUUUGCUGUUUUCUUCUGUUCCUCUAAAUUCAUACUUAGGUUUACUU
Non-coding RNA from Cinara cedri, 369 nucleotides. The record is from the annotation of a GenBank genome assembly. Lineage: Eukaryota; Metazoa; Arthropoda; Insecta; Hemiptera; Aphididae.